GGCGGUUCUCGGGUGACGCACCCCGGAACCAGAGAGGAGAAAGCCUGAUUCUGGGGUGCGUCACCCUAGAGCCGCC
Myotis lucifugus (little brown bat) is the source of this 76-nucleotide non-coding RNA. NCBI's taxonomy places the organism in Eukaryota, Metazoa, Chordata, Mammalia, Chiroptera, Vespertilionidae. The record is from Rfam.